Osmerus eperlanus (European smelt) is the source of this 366-nucleotide long non-coding RNA. RefSeq lists it as uncharacterized. The record is from RefSeq and is a predicted model, not a curated record. NCBI's taxonomy places the organism in Eukaryota, Metazoa, Chordata, Actinopteri, Osmeriformes, Osmeridae. The transcript is spliced from 3 exons.
CUACCAAGUCUGCAUCUAAUGCCUGCCUCUUCACAUCGCCAAUGAAUUAUCCUUGCAUUCCUAUGUCUACCAGUUGACACACUGCACGCACGGCAUACCAGUUCUGCAAGGGAAGAGAAUUCCAUUCGCAGGCUGUGCGUUUUACAGCAGCACCUGAGGUUUUGCUGUGGCUGCAAUCCCUACUGGACAAUGGCACAGACCAACAGCGUCGGGCAGGGGACCAAUGGAGUAACCGAUGAGUCGCCCAACAUGAUUGUCUACAGAAAGAUGGAGGAUGUAAUAGCUCGCAUGCAGGAUGAGAAGAAUGGAAUACCUAUCCGCACGGUGAAAAGUUUUCUCUAUCGAAGAUUCCAAGCGUAUUUUCAG